AAUCCAUAGGUUAAUGAGGCGAACCGGGGGAACUGAAACAUCUAAGUACCCCGAGGAAAAGAAAUCAACCGAGAUUCCCCCAGUAGCGGCGAGCGAACGGGGAGGAGCCCAGAGCCUGAAUCAGCAUGUGUGUUAGUGGAAGCGUCUGGAAAGGCGCGCGAUACAGGGUGACAGCCCCGUACACAAAAGCGCAUGUGCUGUGAGCUCGAUGAGUAGGGCGGGACACGUGGUAUCCUGUCUGAAUAUGGGGGGACCAUCCUCCAAGGCUAAAUACUCCUGACUGACCGAUAGUGAACCAGUACCGUGAGGGAAAGGCGAAAAGAACCCCGGCGAGGGGAGUGAAAAAGAACCUGAAACCGUGUACGUACAAGCAGUGGGAGCACAGGUUUACCUGUGUGACUGCGUACCUUUUGUAUAAUGGGUCAGCGACUUAUAUUCUGUAGCAAGGUUAACCGAAUAGGGGAGCCGUAGGGAAACCGAGUCUUAAU
Molecule: ribosomal RNA, 488 nt
Filed under: Salmonella enterica subsp. enterica serovar Newport
Lineage: Bacteria; Pseudomonadati; Pseudomonadota; Gammaproteobacteria; Enterobacterales; Enterobacteriaceae
Description: partial 23S ribosomal RNA
Rfam family: Bacterial large subunit ribosomal RNA
Source: RNAcentral